GUAGGUGGCAAGCGUUGUCCGGAAUUAUUGGGCGUAAAGCGCGCGCAGGCGGUUCUUUAAGUCUGAUGUGAAAGCCCACGGCUCAACCGUGGAGGGUCAUUGGAAACUGGAGAACUUGAGUACAGAAGAGGAAAGCGGAAUUCCACGUGUAGCGGUGAAAUGCGUAGAGAUGUGGAGGAACACCAGUGGCGAAGGCGGCUUUCUGGUCUGUAACUGACGCUGAGGCGCGAAAGCGUGGGGGAGCAAACAGGAUUAGAUACCCUGGUAGUCCACGCCGUAAACGAUGAGUGCUAAGUGUUAGGGGGUCUCCGCCCCCCCCUUAGUGCUGCAGCUAACGCAUUAAGCACUCCGCCUGGGGAGUACGGCCGCAAGGCUG
RNAcentral lists this ribosomal RNA (376 nucleotides) under uncultured organism. Its description in RNAcentral is "partial 16S ribosomal RNA". It matches the Rfam family "Bacterial small subunit ribosomal RNA", at positions 527 to 896 of the family's 1533-position model. The record is from RNAcentral.